UACGGAGGGUGCAAGCGUUAAUCGGAACUACUGGGCGUAAAGCGCGCGCAGGCGGUCUGUCAAGUCGGAUGUGAAAUCCCCGGGCUCAACCUGGGAACUGCAUUCGAAACUGGCAGGCUUGAGUCUCGUAGUGGGGGGUAGAAUUCCAGGUGUAGCGGUGAAAUGCGUAGAGAUCUGGAGGGAUACCGGUGGCGAAGGCGGCCCCCUGGACGAAGACUGACGCCCAGGUGCGAAAGCGUGGGGAGCAAACAGG
Molecule: ribosomal RNA, 253 nt
Filed under: uncultured bacterium
Lineage: Bacteria
Description: partial 16S ribosomal RNA
Rfam family: Bacterial small subunit ribosomal RNA
Source: RNAcentral